UGUUCUAUGAUAGCACUAUUAGAGUAUCUGUCUGUCUGGUGUUUCAUUUUUACCAAAACACUUUGCGACCAACUUGAAAAAGAACUUGGAUGGCUGUAAAGUGUAAAGAAGAGUUUACUUCAUAUGUAUUUUUGGUCAAUAUUUUUUGGUCUUUAUUCUUAAGGUAAUAUCUUCAACUUAAGGUUUCGUGUGUCAUGGGUGCUUGUGACAAUAGAGAUGAAAUUGUCCAUUUCAAGCCGUGUCUUACAAAACUAAGGAAAUUCUAUUUGCAAGAGUUCAACCUACAGACGGGCCGGCAAGUUUGCAUGUCCUUCACGCUUGAAGGUCGCGGGAAACAUAACGAGUAUUACUGUCAAUGCGGUGUUGUAGAGUUUGGGUGAGAAUUAAUUGGACGUGUUGCAUCAUUAUCAAGCAGACCCAUCCCCAGCAACGUCAACCUAAAGAAGGAAAGGCUAGUUUUCAUUUC
This 466-nucleotide long non-coding RNA is filed under the name Daphnia pulex (common water flea). Its description in RNAcentral is "uncharacterized LOC124205278, transcript variant X2". Lineage: Eukaryota; Metazoa; Arthropoda; Branchiopoda; Diplostraca; Daphniidae. The record is from RNAcentral.